RNAcentral lists this ribosomal RNA (497 nucleotides) under uncultured bacterium. RNAcentral describes it as "partial 16S ribosomal RNA". It matches the Rfam family "Bacterial small subunit ribosomal RNA", at positions 28 to 507 of the family's 1533-position model. The record is from RNAcentral.
GAUGAACGCCGGCGGCGUGCCUAAUACAUGCAAGUCGAGCGAACAGACGAGGAGCUUGCUCCUCUGACGUUAGCGGCGGACGGGUGAGUAACACGUGGAUAACCUACCUAUAAGACUGGGAUAACUUCGGGAAACCGGAGCUAAUACCGGAUAAUAUAUUGAACCGCAUGGUUCAAUAGUGAAAGACGGUUUUGCUGUCACUUAUAGACGGAUCCGCGCCGCAUUAGCUAGUUGGUAAGGUAACGGCUUACCAAGGCAACGAUGCGUAGCCGACCUGAGAGGGUGAUCGGCCACACUGGAACUGAGACACGGUCCAGACUCCUACGGGAGGCAGCAGUAGGGAAUCUUCCGCAAUGGGCGAAAGCCUGACGGAGCAACGCCGCGUGAGUGAUGAAGGUCUUCGGAUCGUAAAACUCUGUUAUUAGGGAAGAACAAAUGUGUAAGUAACUAUGCACGUCUUGACGGUACCUAAUCAGAAAGCCACGGCUAACUACGUG